ACUAGUGGGGCCCACCCGUCAGAGCUGAUGGGGCAGGAAAGUCAACACCGUUUAUUUUGACUGUUAAGUUAACCAUUAUGACAGGUGGCCCCCAGAUAUCAGUAUCUAUCUUCUUCUUCCUCCUAUAUCUCUCUUGGUCAUUUCAAGGAACACCCCGUCUUCGUGCCCCACGGCGAGCUCUGGUGUCGUCUAUGUCACCCACCUAGAGGCAAUCAGCCACCGCGUGCCCGUGCGGCCGCCGCUGCCACCGCUGCUUCUCGUGGCCGUACGUGGCAGUAGGGCCGCGGCUAUGCGUUGGACCGGGGACGGCGGCACGUCCUCCGGCCCCAGCUCCACGCCCAGCGCUCCGCGUGCCAGAAGCUCACGCCCGUCCGUCACCGGCAGCGCCAGCCGCCCCGCCCACACCUCCCCGUAGACGACGUUCACCGCGCACAGCUAUGAGAAGAACGCCGUGGCAGGCACUCCGGCGGCCCGCGCCACCCGCCCCGCCCACGGCAGGUGCGAGUCGUACACCAGCACGCGCACCGCGGCUGUCUCCUCCGACAGCAGGACGUCGCGCAGCGUCUCGGACCCCGCGGCCUCCAACCGGGAGAAGUACUCGGCGGGGUCCGGGCACGAGGCGAAGCCACCGGCGUCGAAUCCGUCGGAGAUGGCGGCCACGCGGAAGGGCGCGCCGGGGGGUGGGGUGGAGGAGAGCACGUGAUGGGUGGAGACGAACGUGGGGCGGAGGCCGUGGCGCGUCAGGCGGCGGCCCAGCUCCAGCAUCGGGUUCGUGUGGCUCGGGGUGUCAAAUGCAACAACGCCGGCGUGCGCAUGGUGGAUGCGAGGGCAGCGGUCACGCUCGACGAGUGGCUCGCCACGGCCACCGCCGACGACGAGAUGGACCUCGCCUACUUCGAGCCCAUGGGGUCCGAGGCAGGGUGGAACAAGUGCGCAGGGUGGAACAUGAGGUGUUUGUUAAAAUGCCAGAGAGAGGGAGGAGGAGGAAGAAGAAUGACGUGUGGGCCCCACCUGUCAUAGCGGUCAACUUAACGGACUGGAAUAACGGAGUUGACUUUCCUGCCACAUCAGCCCUGACGGGUGGGCCCCACUUGUCAUAAACGUGUUUAAAUCUUUUAAACUGGUCAUUUUUCGAAAGUGGUAGUUUUUUGCCACGGGUUAGUAAAAAAGUGGUAGUUUUUUGCACAAAGUUGUAAAGUGGUAGUUUCUGGGCACGGUUCCAUGAAAUGUGGUAGUUUUUGGUUAAAUACUCGCGCCUUAUCCUCCCCGUUCCUUUCUCAUAUCCGAGCUCCAGCCCUCCACCAUCCCCUCCUCCUUGACCGCCUCUCCCCUCGUCUGAAGGAGCAUGGGGCUCGCAGCUGCGCCUGAGCCGCCACAAGGCCGUCAGGUAGAGGAGAUCCGGUGCCCACGGGCCGUUCACGCCGCUGUCCGAGGUCUCGGAGUUGCCAGAGUCGUCGUCGCCAUACGAAGACGAGUCGGCGGGGAGAUGUUGGUGUUGGGAUUCGGGAGGGUCCAAUCUGCAGCAAAUCCUUGGGAGAUAUGACGGUGUAUUUUGGAAUGCUCGACGGCUUGCUGGCUGCAGAAGGGCUUCCUGAGGAAUACCAGAACCGAUGCCAGGAUAUACUUUGUAACGACUGCGGAAGAAAAGGGCUUUCUCGGUUCCACUGGCUGUAUCAUAAAUGCCCCGCCUGUGGCUUGUACAACACCAGAGUUAUCAAGACCGAGGCACCAAAUUGUUCCAUGUAGAAUUAACAGGCGAGUCGUUUUCUGUUUUCUUCUUCUGCUCGAUUCUUUUGGAAAUUCGCCUCUGUAAUAUAUCUCGAUACAGAGGAACAUUGCAUAUGUAUAGUUGUGAUGCUUAACAAAGUCAGUUCGGAGCAUGAAUGUCGCUUUUGGUUAGCAGCGCAGCUAAUAGUCAGUUUACUAUAGCAAAAUGUUAUUAAUUCUAUGUAGUAGUAACAGCCAUCCAGCCCCGUCUCUAGGAUAAUGCUUUAGGACAGUGCAAGAACUCGCGGUCUGGCAGCAUGAAUAGAACCGAGGCCGCAUGUCACUACGCCACCCUGCAUCACCCGGGGCCUCGUUCCUCGCUCCAAUUGGCCAUUUCGUCUUUGCAUCUCCUGGGGCUGCACACUCCUGUCAUGGCGAGUUCGCGACCAGCCGAAUCAUCCGCCCGAGGCAUGGGCAAGGCCCAGCAGCACCAAUGCUACCAACAAAAAAUGCCUCUUCUGUCCAAGCUGCAUCCGACACGGACACCACUUCAACCAAAGUACCAAACCAUGCAACCAGACUUGGCUAUUUCUAGUGCAAAAAAACAGCCAGCAGCCCCGGCCUUGGGUCUGAUGUUGUUGUAGUGUUGUUGAUGAAGCUUCUCGUGGUCUGCAGAGACUCUCACGUCCUCAGGGGGAAGGCCUCCUUGGAGUUUUGCAGACCGGAUGAGCAGACGUUUGUUAGCAGCAGGUCGACGGUCGAUGUGAUCUCUCCAGGCCCAGGGUGCGCCGGCUUGCUGCUCUGCACCGCCGAUGCACGCCAUGCUGGCCAGAGUUAGGCUCGGCACGCCUGGCAUUUCUCUCGAUGGUCCAAUCUUGUGUGGCGAACAAGUCUCGGAGCUGCGUCUGUGGAAUUGACCCUCUGUUCCAGUCCAAUGGUUUAGGACAUGAAUGAAAGAGUCAGCAUGCAAGCCAAGACUGCGUUACUCUAUUUGAACUAUGCAUUUUACGAAUAUGCUGACAGGUGUAAGAUAGUAAGAUUUAAAAUGUGUUAGCGAAAAGAUUUAUCAGUAGGCCCAAACUGUACAGGUCCGCCGAUGAGGAUGUGGAUGAGGACGAGGUCGAGCCCCCUCCCGCCGCGAUCUCCUUUUGGAGGCUAUUCAACUUCGCCGACGGCCUCGGCUGGGCACUCAUGGACGCUGGCACAGUCGCCGCCGCCGCCCACGACGCAGCAUUCAUAGUCUACCUGCACUAAUGGUCCUUGAAUUUUCUCGACACUGAGCGGAUUUAGUCUGCUCUCCACGGUCGUAGCGACGAGCUCCUCAACCAAUUUAAGCAGGUAAACCGUUGCUUCACAUGCUCGUCUCUUAAUUGCACGCUUGACAGGGCCUGCAACAUGAUAUUUAUUGCCUGACUCCCGAAGGUAAAUUCAACAACAAAUGUGUUUAGGAUCCACUUUAUUUCUGCAAGUUGAAGAGGUAAAGAUAUGCAUGCUGUGAUUUUGGUUGCCAGUGUAUGUUUGUUUAACUUUUUCCAAGGUGUUCUACUCUAUGGCCCACCAGGAACCGGGAAGACAGUAUUAGCAAGGGCUAUCGCCAGUAACAUUGAUGCUAACUUUUGGAGAUUCUGUCAAGUGCUAUAAUUGACAAAUAUAUUGGAGAAAGUGCUCGUUUAAUCAGAUAAAUGUUCAGCUAUGCACGCGAUCACCAUGACAUGAUUUAGUGAGGAACCAGUAACGACCGUGAGAUCCAGCGGACGGUGAUGGAGCUUCUUAAUCAGUUAGAUGGAUUUGAUGAGCUUGGCAAGGGCUCUUGAACAGAUGUGAAGGUUUAUUUUUUGCUGAUAUGUGCAAUCUUAUGGAUAUGUUUAUUAGGCAUAAUCUUCUAUCCUCAUUUGAAGCACCUUGGAGUUAUUUGGUGAUUGUGUUGCUCUGUUGGAUGACCACGCGCUGGUAUUAUUUUCUACUAGGUCUAUGAGUGUAAAGCAGUUGAUCUCAAACUGUUUGGUCCCUUGUUCAUUUUACUUACUUGCCUUUCCUGUCCUUUUUGGCCAAGUUAGGUGUUUGAAGCCCCUUUUGCGUAGGAAUCUUGCCUGGUACGACUAGAAACUGCAUUCUCAAAUAUUCAACAAACUGUUGAAGUUAUCUGUUACAAGAUUCACCCAUUUUGUAGUAUUCAUGCCCGUAAGAUCUAAAAUAGCUCGAUCAUCUCCUUGUGAUGUCUUCUAUGUUGUUUGUUAUUACUUGUGAUUGUAUUAAAGCAAAUUUGUCAUUCUCAGCCAAGAUUGUCAGCAAGUGUGCAUUACCAAGCUGAGAUUUCAGUUUCACUACCUCUUAGCAACUGUGAUAUCUUUCUGUUAUUUUCAGAUCUGCUUGCUCUGCAUGGAGUGAGGGCAUAGUCUGAAGAACUUCUCUGACGAAGGUGAUGGGCUUCAAAAAAUUCUGUUAUAACUGUGGUGAAUCUGCCGUUUGAAAUUACAGGGCCAUGGACUCCAAUUUGCAGUGACGAAGUUUAUAUCAUGUUUGUGCUCAGUCUGUUAUUUCCCUUUAUCGAACACAUGGAUCUACAGCACACUAAUGGCAAGUUUGGAUUCAUGGUGUUUGCGGCAUCCGCACUUUAACUUCUUGCUGGAUUUGGUGCGCAAUGAUGUCAUUUGAUGUAGAACUGAGCUUGAACGCGGAUGCUGCCUCUGCCUACUCAAGACACUGGCACGGUCGCGUGGCCGAAGGCAGUCCCAACGGGUGGCUGCACUAUGACAAGCGGGGAUGGCGAUGACCGCUACAUCUUCCGCGGCUACCGUGAGAGGUUGUGGGCUACGUCGAGGGCUCUACUGCGAUGGCGAUCUAAUGGUGAAGCAGAUGAGGAGCUGCUCGAGCAGGCGAUGAUGAAGGCGAGCAUCGGCACGAUGGGGUUGGCGGAGCGUGCAGAUGAAGCUGCAGCGGCAAGUCUCGUGGCUGAAAUACAACGACGUAGAGUGGAGCAUCUGGUAGAUACAUCGUCUUUAGAUUGCUUGUUUAUUUCCUGAGUUUGAUUCACUUUUGGACAACCAUCGUAUGUAAUGCAUCUUCUAACCAGGUAUAUAACCUGCUGCCACCCCGUAAGAUUAAUAUAUUUCCACCUCUAAUGGAUU
Triticum aestivum (bread wheat) is the source of this 4835-nucleotide long non-coding RNA. RefSeq lists it as uncharacterized. Lineage: Eukaryota; Viridiplantae; Streptophyta; Magnoliopsida; Poales; Poaceae. The record is from RefSeq and is a predicted model, not a curated record. The transcript has 6 exons.